AGAUAAUGACGGGCCUUUAGAAUCAAUCCAGAAGCCUGGGAGCUCUCUCUUUCGGGCCCAAUGUGUGAAAAUGGAUGAUGAUGUGAUGCUGCUCGUUGGGCUUCGUCCAAUCCCAGGACAGGCUGUAAACGCGUGGGGCUAAUCUCAUAAUUAUCCGGCACCCCCCACCCCACAUUGUUCUGGCAGAGAGUUACCAUUAACUGUGAGGAUAUCUUUGUCCUGCAAUGUCAGGUCUCCCGCUGAGUCACAGGGCAGAAAAACACUCUCAAAAGGGAUUUAAGGGAAGGGAAUGACUAAGAUGUUCAUAAAGUGGGAACACUAUACUUCCAUCCAUCCUCCAGGCCUUAGGGCAAUUACUGGAAUGGCUACUAACUGUUUGAAAUAAAUCAACUUGUACAUAACAGUAGAGCUGUAACCUUGGAGUGAAUUUGGGGUAAAAACACUGCCAUUUUAACCAUGAUAAUUGUCAACAAUCUGCUUUUUCUUAAUGGAAUGUCAUUGCAUGUAUUCAUACCUACGCAUGACAUGGCAAACUUAUUCCUGAACUGGAGACUUGUUAAUAAGGCAAACUCGGUAACAAAGUGAAACUGUGCAAUCACAGCGCGACCUUGGGGAAGGCAAUGUUCCGAAACGACGUGGUAAACAGGCACGGCUGUUCUCUCAUGAAUAUGCAUCGGCCAGCCGACUGAUAACAAACGCUGCUCUGUUCUGUCCUGUCAGUCAACACCGGCACCAUGAAGCUCCAACCUGCCUGUGUUGUUGUGUCUACUGUCCAGGUUGGUGACAAUCAAGGAGUGGGUAGACAGUUCACGACCCCGGGGCGCUGGUCAUCCCCUUCAGCGGAGGAGUGGAGAGUCUCCUGCAGGACAUGAGUGAAGGGGAGAUUAAGAAGUACUGCACCGAGCACAAGGCUCAGAGCGUUCUGACAAGGAUCAUCAAGGCUGGCUAUGGAGCCCUACAGUUGGAGUACUUCUUCACAGCUGGACCAGAUGAGGUCCGUGCGGGGACCAUCCGGAAAGGAACCAAGGCUCCACAGGCAGCCGGCAAGAUCCACGCAGACUUUGAGAAGGGCUUCGUUAUGGCUGAAGUAAUGAAAUUCGGCAGAUUUUAAAGAGGGAGGCAAGCGAGAAUGCUGUCAAGGCAGCAGGGAAAUA
Long non-coding RNA from Oncorhynchus tshawytscha (Chinook salmon), 1154 nucleotides. RefSeq lists it as uncharacterized. The record is from RefSeq and is a predicted model, not a curated record. NCBI's taxonomy places the organism in Eukaryota, Metazoa, Chordata, Actinopteri, Salmoniformes, Salmonidae. The transcript has 4 exons.